This 1343-nucleotide ribosomal RNA is filed under the name uncultured bacterium. RNAcentral describes it as "16S ribosomal RNA". It matches the Rfam family "Bacterial small subunit ribosomal RNA", at positions 28 to 1378 of the family's 1533-position model. The record is from RNAcentral.
GACGAACGUUGGCGGCGUGCUUAACACAUGCAAGUCGAACGGAAAGGCCCUGCUUUUGUGGGGUGCUCGAGUGGCGAACGGGUGAGUAACACGUGAGUAACCUGCCCUUGACUUUGGGAUAACUUCAGGAAACUGGGGCUAAUACCGGAUAGGAGCUCCUGCUGCAUGGUGGGGGUUGGAAAGUUUCGGCGGUUGGGGAUGGACUCGCGGCUUAUCAGCUUGUUGGUGGGGUAGUGGCUUACCAAGGCUUUGACGGGUAGCCGGCCUGAGAGGGUGACCGGCCACAUUGGGACUGAGAUACGGCCCAGACUCCUACGGGAGGCAGCAGUGGGGAAUAUUGCACAAUGGGCGGAAGCCUGAUGCAGCAACGCCGCGUGCGGGAUGACGGCCUUCGGGUUGUAAACCGCUUUCGCCUGUGACGAAGCGUGAGUGACGGUAAUGGGUAAAGAAGCACCGGCUAACUACGUGCCAGCAGCCGCGGUGAUACGUAGGGUGCGAGCGUUGUCCGGAUUUAUUGGGCGUAAAGGGCUCGUAGGUGGUUGAUCGCGUCGGAAGUGUAAUCUUGGGGCUUAACCCUGAGCGUGCUUUCGAUACGGGUUGACUUGAGGAAGGUAGGGGAGAAUGGAAUUCCUGGUGGAGCGGUGGAAUGCGCAGAUAUCAGGAGGAACACCAGUGGCGAAGGCGGUUCUCUGGGCCUUUCCUGACGCUGAGGAGCGAAAGCGUGGGGAGCGAACAGGCUUAGAUACCCUGGUAGUCCACGCUGUAAACGGUGGGUACUAGGUGUGGGAUCCAUUCCACGGGUUCCGUGCCGUAGCUAACGCUUUAAGUACCCCGCCUGGGGAGUACGGCCGCAAGGCUAAAACUCAAAGGAAUUGACGGGGCCCCGCACAAGCGGCGGAGCAUGCGGAUUAAUUCGAUGCAACGCGUAGAACCUUACCUGGGUUUGACAUGGAUCGGGAGUGCUCAGAGAUGGGUGUGCCUCUUUUGGGGUCGGUUCACAGGUGGUGCAUGCCUGUCGUCAGCUCGUGUCGUGAGAUGUUGGGUUAAGUCCCGCAACGAGCGCAACCCUUGUUCACUGUUGCCAGCACGUUAUGGUGGGGACUCAGUGGAGACCGCCGGGGUCAACUCGGAGGAAGGUGGGGAUGACGUCAAGUCAUCAUGCCCCUUAUGUCCAGGGCUUCACGCAUGCUACAAUGGCUGGUACAGAGAGUGGCGAGCCUGUGAGGGUGAGCGAAUCUCGGAAAGCCGGUCUCAGUUCGGAUUGGGGUCUGCAACUCGACCUCAUGAAGUCGGAGUCGCUAGUAAUCGCAGAUCAGCAACGCUGCGGUGAAUACGUUCCCGGG